Molecule: non-coding RNA, 135 nt
Organism: Triticum aestivum (bread wheat)
Lineage: Eukaryota; Viridiplantae; Streptophyta; Magnoliopsida; Poales; Poaceae
Source: Rfam
UUAUUACUUCCUUCGUCUGAAAAUACUUGUCAUCAAAAUGGAUAAAAAGAGAUGUAUCUAGAACUAAAAUACAUCUAGAUACAUCUCCUUUUAUUUAUUUUGAUGAUAAAUAUUUUCGGACGGAGGGAGCAAAAA